Varroa destructor (honeybee mite) is the source of this 1564-nucleotide long non-coding RNA. The record is from RefSeq and is a predicted model, not a curated record. NCBI's taxonomy places the organism in Eukaryota, Metazoa, Arthropoda, Arachnida, Mesostigmata, Varroidae.
AGGGUUUUAGCUGCGCAGAAUAACUCGGAUCGGAUGAAAAUAAAAGGACGACAACAACGAUGCACCGUUUCCGUUACCUCGAUGGAUGUAGAAAACAAUAUCUGCUGUUAGCUCUCAUUGACUGCACUGGCUGUGGCAUCAACAACAAAAGUGGAACAGAAACGGAUUUUUCCGGUAAUCACACAAUUUCGAGAAAGGUAAUCUUUCUGGAGUUGUUUUUUCCAAAAGGCCGCUCGUCACCCGUAUUGUAUAUUGCCAGCUGAUUCGCAGUGUAUACCGAUGAGACAGAGGAAAAAGCAAAGAAAUAAGCGGAAAAAGCACCGUCUGCUUACGGUACAUGCACGUUGUAUUCUGAACAAACCAUCAACGAAGCGCUCAAGAGAUUACAGCAUUGAGCUCAACUAUUCUCAGUACUUACCCUUUGUAUAUUAUAUCACCUCGGAUCUGAACCUUGAAGUAUCAUUAAGCCACCCAGAAGGAGGCCCACGGCAUCACUAAGCCCAUUUGGAUUUUUCACCGAAACUAUAAAGAGUCUUAUACAACGCAAAGUGUCAGCCCCGAUUAAAGGCCUACAAGACGUGUUGUUUGUUGCAAUGGUCUCGGCCGUUACUGCUACCCGUAUCUUAUCACUAUGGUUACGGCCGCUGUCGCUACCAUGUAAACCUGCGAAUUGGAUCCGCACUAACAUUAGCCUGACGCGGUGUACAAAGCUUGGUACCGACAUAGCCAUCUUGCUGGGAAUAAGAGUCUGCGUUUUUACAACUUCUGAAUUUGAACCAGCAAGGGAAACAAAGCAAACACACGCACAAAUCAAUUGGAUAGGCCUUUGACGUCGAAUAUCGAAGGUUUGUCAACAAUCGAUAGAAAAAGAAAUUGUCAUAUUGUUGGAUUAUCAAGGGAUGCUGGCUAUUCACAGGGCGUAAUAUAGCGUGCCCAUAGUCAACCCUUUUACCAAAAAUACCUGGAGAAUAGACAUUUGUUUCCAGGGGCGGACGAUGUGUACGCUUAAAUCAAUGACUGGGUAUUACAUAAUUUGUCUUAAAUACGGUUAAGUUGUCAAUCGUAUGAAAAAGUAUGGAAUUUUAUGUAAACGCCGUGAAGCGAAAUACUUUUUAAUUGCGAAGUGUACUAGUGCAAAGAUCUAAUGGGAAAAUAUUACACAUACGACAAAGUAAUACAUCUUAUCCACCUGGGAGUACAGUUUGCCCAAUAUGCAAGAAGUAGUCAGACGCACAGCAGCUGGCCUACACACAAGACACUUGCAAGCAGUGAGCAGAAGUGGUAGAAAUCUUCAGGUUCUUUCAACGUGUAAUAGUAGAAGACCGACAACCGUGCUGCAUUGGUGAGUGUCGUCAAAACGCAACUAGUUCCGAUGCCAUUCGAUGACUGAAAAAUGUGACAUGCCUUCCAGCUUUACGGAACAAUAUACUCCAAAAAAAAGAUGAAAUAAAACAGAAUUAAGCGAAAGCCACUGGUCUAUCUUAGUCAAAGCUUUCACUGAGAAAUUCAGCAACCCUAUACAUAACACAUAUGAGAGGGUCCAAAAUGCUUCAUCCGGCCCCGU